AAUAGUUUUUUAAAUGGAAACUGGGAUGAAUGAAGUGAUGAGAUUUAUACUGUCUUAAAUUAAAUUAUUAAAUUUAUUAAUUAAGUAAAAAUACUUAAAUAAAAGUAUGGGACGAGAAGACCCUGUAGAAUUUUAUAUAAAUUUAUUAUAUGUGUAUUAUGGUUAGGUGUUUAGUAAUUUUAUAUUUUAUUGGGAGGAUAAAUAAAUUAAAAAAACUUUAAUAGAAAAAUCCAUUAAUUUAUGAGUUUUGAGUAAAAUGAGUGAUUAUAUAAAUUUUAAAAGAAUUAAUUACCUUAGGGAUAACAGCGUAAUAUUUUUAGAGAGAUCUUAUUAAUAAAAAUGGUUGC
RNAcentral lists this ribosomal RNA (347 nucleotides) under Pheidole triplex. RNAcentral's name for it is "partial 16S large subunit ribosomal RNA". Lineage: Eukaryota; Metazoa; Arthropoda; Insecta; Hymenoptera; Formicidae. The record is from RNAcentral.